ACCAUUGAAUGAUGAAGAAUUUGUUGAGUACAUCCUUACUGGUCUUGAUUAUGAUUUUAACCCAUUAGUUUCUACUCUUGUUACAAGGAUAGAACCAAUAUUGGUAGCAGAGUUGUAUGCACAACUAUUGGCUUUCGAAA
Molecule: small nucleolar RNA, 140 nt
Organism: Phragmites australis (common reed)
Lineage: Eukaryota; Viridiplantae; Streptophyta; Magnoliopsida; Poales; Poaceae
Product: small nucleolar RNA Z247
Exons: 1
Source: RefSeq, a predicted model, not a curated record